Molecule: ribosomal RNA, 903 nt
Filed under: Phanerochaete sordida
Lineage: Eukaryota; Fungi; Basidiomycota; Agaricomycetes; Polyporales; Phanerochaetaceae
Description: partial large subunit ribosomal RNA
Rfam family: Eukaryotic large subunit ribosomal RNA
Source: RNAcentral
GGAUUCCCCUAGUAACUGCGAGUGAAGCGGGAAAAGCUCAAAUUUAAAAUCUGACAGUCUUUGGCUGUCCGAGUUGUAAUCUGGAGAAGCGUCUUCCGCGCUGGACCGUGUACAAGUCUCCUGGAACGGAGCGUCAUAGAGGGUGAGAAUCCCGUCUUUGACACGGACUACCAGUGCUUUGUGAUGCGCUCUCAAAGAGUCGAGUUGUUUGGGAAUGCAGCUCAAAAUGGGUGGUAAACUCCAUCUAAAGCUAAAUAUUGGCGAGAGACCGAUAGCGAACAAGUACCGUGAGGGAAAGAUGAAAAGCACUUUGGAAAGAGAGUUAAACAGUACGUGAAAUUGCUGAAAGGGAAACGCUUGAAGUCAGUCGCGUUUGCUAGGACUCAGCCUUGCUUCGGCUUGGUGCACUUCCUAGUAAACGGGCCAGCAUCACUUUUGGCUGCGGGAAAAAGGUCAGAGGAAUGUGGCACCUUCGGGUGUGUUAUAGCCUCUGGCUGUAUACCGUGGCUGGGAGUGAGGAUCUCAGCACGCCUCACGGCGGGGCUUCGGCCACCUUCGUGCUUAGGAUGCUGGCGUAAUGGCUUUAAACGACCCGUCUUGAAACACGGACCAAGGAGUCUAACAUGCCUGCGAGUGUUUGGGUGGAAAACCCGAGCGCGUAAUGAAAGUGAAAGUUGGGACCUCUGUCGUGGAGGGCACCGACGCCCGGACCAGAACUUCGGGGACGGAUCUGCGGUAGAGCAUGUAUGUUGGGACCCGAAAGAUGGUGAACUAUGCCUGAAUAGGGUGAAGCCAGAGGAAACUCUGGUGGAGGCUCGUAGCGAUUCUGACGUGCAAAUCGAUCGUCAAAUUUGGGUAUAGGGGCGAAAGACUAAUCGAACCAUCUAGUAGCUGGUUCCUGCC